UACGAAGGGGGCGAGCGUUGUUCGGAUUUACUGGGCGUAAAGGGCGCGCAGGCGGCUCAUUUUGUCAGGCGUGAAAGCCCCGGGCUUAACCUGGGAACUGCGUUUGAUACGGAUGGGCUAGAGUUCGGGAGAGGAGAGUGGAAUUCCCAGUGUAGAGGUGAAAUUCGUAGAUAUUGGGAAGAACACCGGUGGCGAAGGCGGCUCUCUGGACCGAGACUGACGCUGAGGCGCGAAAGCCAGGGGAGCAAACGGG
Molecule: ribosomal RNA, 253 nt
Filed under: uncultured bacterium
Lineage: Bacteria
Description: partial 16S ribosomal RNA
Rfam family: Bacterial small subunit ribosomal RNA
Source: RNAcentral